RNAcentral lists this ribosomal RNA (1174 nucleotides) under Candidatus Altarchaeales archaeon. RNAcentral's name for it is "bacterial SSU rRNA". It matches the Rfam family "Bacterial small subunit ribosomal RNA", at positions 329 to 1533 of the family's 1533-position model. Lineage: Archaea; Nanobdellati; Candidatus Altarchaeota; Candidatus Altarchaeia; Candidatus Altarchaeales. The record is from RNAcentral.
GCCCAUACUCCUACGGGAGGCAGCAGCAGGGAAUAUUGCGCAAUGGACGGAAGUCAGACGCAGCGACGCCGCGUGGGCGAUGAAGGCCUUCGGGUUGUAAAGCCCUUUUCUGGGGGACGAGGCAGGACGGUACCCUAGGAAUAAGCGUCGGCUAACUACGUGCCAGCAGCCGCGGUAAGACGUAGGACGCAAGCGUUAUCCGGAUUUACUGGGCGUAAAGCGCCUGUAGGCGGUUAUAUAAGUCGGAUGUGAAAGCCCCGUGCUCAACGCGGGGAAGCCAUUCGAUACUGUGUGACUCGAGAGUGGCAGAGGGAAACGGAAUUUCUGGUGUAGCGGUAAAAUGCGCAGAGAUCAGAAAGAACACCGAUGGCGAAGGCAGUUUCCUGGGCCAAAUCUGACGCUGAGAGGCGAAAGCUAGGGGAGCGAACAGGAUUAGAGACCCUGGUAGUCCUAGCUGUAAACGCUGGAUGCUAGGUGUAGGUCGUAAAGAUCUGUGCCGGAGUUAACGCGAUAAGCAUCCCGCCUGGGGAGUACGGCCGCAAGGCUAAAACUCAAACGAAUUGACGGGGACCCGCACAAGCAGCGGAGCGUGUGGUUUAAUUCGAUGCUACACGAAGAACCUUACCUGGGCUUGACAUGUAGGUGGUAGCGAAGUGAAAGCGGAGCGACCCUUCGGGGAGCCUACACAGGUGCUGCAUGGCUGUCGUCAGCUCGUGCCGUGAGGUGUCGGGUUAAGUCCCGUAACGAGCGCAACCCUUGUCCUUAGUUACAAGUGUCUAAGGAGACUGCCGGUGACAAACCGGAGGAAGGUGGGGAUGACGUCAAGUCAGCAUGGCCCUUAUGUCCAGGGCGACACACACGCUACAAUGGUCGGUACAAUGGGCAGCGCAGCCGCGAGGUGAAGCGAAUCCCAGCAAAGCCGAUCCCAGUUCGGAUUGCAGGCUGCAACCCGCCUGCAUGAAGCCGGAGUUGCUAGUAACCGCGCGUCAGCCAUAGUGCGGUGAAUACGUUCCCGGGUCUUGUACACACCGCCCGUCACGUCAUGGGAGUCGGCAACGCCUGAAGCCGGUAGCCUGACCGCAAGGGAGGCGCCGUCGAGGGUGGGGCUGGCGACUGGGACGAAGUCGUAACAAGGUAGCGGUACCGGAAGGUGCGGCUGGAUCACCUCCUUUCU